This 494-nucleotide ribosomal RNA is filed under the name uncultured bacterium. RNAcentral's name for it is "partial 16S ribosomal RNA". It matches the Rfam family "Bacterial small subunit ribosomal RNA", at positions 28 to 507 of the family's 1533-position model. The record is from RNAcentral.
GACGAACGCUGGCGGCGUGCUUAACACAUGCAAGUCGAACGGUGAAGCGCCUUCCUUUUUGGUGGGUGUGGAUGAGUGACGAACGGGUGAGUAACACGUGAGUAACCUGCCCCCUUCUUCUGGAUAACCGCAUGAAAGUGUGGCUAAUACGGGAUAUUCUGGGUCUGUCGCAUGAUGGGUCUGGGAAAGAUAUUGUUUCGGUGGGGGAUGGGCUCGCGGCCUAUCAGCUUGUUGGUGGGGUGAUGGCCUACCAAGGCGGUGACGGGUAGCCGGCCUGAGAGGGUGGACGGUCACACUGGGACUGAGACACGGCCCAGACUCCUACGGGAGGCAGCAGUGGGGAAUAUUGCACAAUGGGCGCAAGCCUGAUGCAGCGACGCCGCGUGAGGGAUGGAGGCCUUCGGGUUGUGAACCUCUUUCGCCAGUGAAGCAGGCCUGCCUCGUUUGUGGGUGGGUUGACGGUAGCUGGAGAAGAAGCGCCGGCUAACUACGUA